RNAcentral lists this ribosomal RNA (454 nucleotides) under Mesobacillus thioparans. RNAcentral describes it as "bacterial SSU rRNA". It matches the Rfam family "Bacterial small subunit ribosomal RNA", at positions 60 to 497 of the family's 1533-position model. The record is from RNAcentral. Lineage: Bacteria; Bacillati; Bacillota; Bacilli; Caryophanales; Bacillaceae.
AGUCGAGCGGAUCUUCAUUAGCUUGCUUUUGAAGUUCAGCGGCGGACGGGUGAGUAACACGUGGGCAACCUGCCUGUAAGACUGGGAUAACUUCGGGAAACCGGAGCUAAUACCGGAUAAUCCUUUCCCUCACAUGAGGGAAAGCUGAAAGACGGUUUCGGCUGUCACUUACAGAUGGGCCCGCGGCGCAUUAGCUAGUUGGUGAGGUAAUGGCUCACCAAGGCAACGAUGCGUAGCCGACCUGAGAGGGUGAUCGGCCACACUGGGACUGAGACACGGCCCAGACUCCUACGGGAGGCAGCAGUAGGGAAUCUUCCGCAAUGGACGAAAGUCUGACGGAGCAACGCCGCGUGAACGAUGAAGGCUUUCGGGUCGUAAAGUUCUGUUGUCAGGGAAGAACAAGUACCGGAGUAACUGCCGGUACCUUGACGGUACCUGACCAGAAAGCCACGGC